CUAAAAUGCAACCAAAUAAAUCCAAUUAACAAAACAUAGAUCCAAUUCAUAAUCAGCAUGGGCCUAAUGAUAGGAUUUACCAAGCCCAACCGCCUAGAGGGUGUAAGGCAAAGGAGAGGUGUCAACAGAAACAGGGCAUGGAAGGCCAAAGGAGGAAGAUUGGGCCUAAGUCCCAAUCGGCUUCCUCAAGACCACAACAACGCUUACGUACGCUCUCAUCAACUUAAGCCUCUACUAAACGAACGACUACCUCCCGACGACUCCGCCGCGCUGGAUCUCAUCGCCAGCGGAGGCGGAGAUUCCAAACAUUCUCGCUCGCACCGUCCUAACAUUCUCACACUCUCGAUUACAUAACCUCCGCCUAAACCAAAAGCAGCUAUUAAGGCGCGCCUCUCCUACGGUGUGAGGCGAACGCCGAUUCAAUAUACAGAGCGAAACAAGAGCUGGAACCACAACACGAAAGGGAGAAGGAUCCUACCGACGACGGUGGAGGUGUAUCGUAAAUGAACGUAGGACUCAAGAUCGACUCAUCUUCUUGCUUCUGCUUCGAAAAUCAACGUAGGACUCAUGAUUCACUCAUUCUUGAAUCGGUGUGGUGAUGAUGUAAUUCGAUUUGCAGAAAUGCUUGCCGGAGGAUGAAGAUGGUGCGUGAGUUCGGUUGUGAUUUUGGCCAAGAGGUGUGAGUUUGAUGAUGAUUCAGAAAAAGAAGGAAGGAGCAAUUUUGGGGAGAAAAUCGAAGAAGAAAAAAUUUCAUUGCUCAAGCUUGUACUUAUAGCCUUUCAAGAUUGAAUUUUGGCUGGUGUUGGAGUUGUUGCUUUUGCGUUUGCAACGCGGAUGUCGUAUCUUGUGGCUGCAAUUUUCCUCGCGUUUUGGCUUCUUUUCACAUAUGGCUUGUGUUAAAGCUUGUGUAGGCGCUGCAGGUUGGUUUUGGUAGCUGAGUUUCCAUGGCUUAUUUCUGCAUUGCAUUUGGUUCAAUGGCACUCUGCAUCUUUCACAUGUCUAUGUGUACUCAACCUUUAAACUUUUCCACCAAAAUGCACUUCUUUCUUGUCUCAUUAGCCGUGCCACCUGGACCUUGGGUUUGCACUUGUGGAUUUAAAAAAUGUAUGAAAUGAUUUUGGAUAAUGGGUUGGUUGAAUGGUUAAUUUGGAUGUUAAUUGGAUAAUGGUUUUAAUAA
This is a long non-coding RNA of Lathyrus oleraceus (garden pea), 1177 nucleotides long. RefSeq lists it as uncharacterized. The transcript has 2 exons. Lineage: Eukaryota; Viridiplantae; Streptophyta; Magnoliopsida; Fabales; Fabaceae. The record is from RefSeq and is a predicted model, not a curated record.